UCAGACAGAUAUUUUUCAGGUUCCAGCAAUGGAUGAAGAGGGAACUCCGUGUGAACCGGAGACGGACCCGCCGCUGUAACUGGGGACGAACGCCGCACAGAGCCACUGGCCGAAAGGUCGGGAAGGCGCGGCAAGUAGGGUGAACCAGAAGUCAGAAGACCUGCCUGAAAGAAGACAAAACC
Molecule: non-coding RNA, 182 nt
Filed under: Desulfobulbus sp.
Lineage: Bacteria; Pseudomonadati; Thermodesulfobacteriota; Desulfobulbia; Desulfobulbales; Desulfobulbaceae
Also listed under: 1 other name
Source: RNAcentral